Molecule: ribosomal RNA, 433 nt
Filed under: uncultured bacterium
Lineage: Bacteria
Description: partial 16S ribosomal RNA
Rfam family: Bacterial small subunit ribosomal RNA
Source: RNAcentral
AACGAACGCUGGCGGCAGGCCUAACACAUGCAAGUCGAGCGAGGACUUCGGUCCUAGCGGCGGACGGGUGAGUAACGCGUGGGAACGUGCCCUUUGCUUCGGAAUAGCCCUGGGAAACUGGGAGUAAUACCGGAUGAGCCCUUUGGGGGAAAGAUUUAUCGGUGAAGGAUCGGCCCGCGUUGGAUUAGGUAGUUGGUGGGGUAAUGGCCUACCAAGCCGACGAUCCAUAGCUGGUUUGAGAGGAUGAUCAGCCACACUGGGACUGAGACACGGCCCAGACUCCUACGGGAGGCAGCAGUGGGGAAUCUUAGACAAUGGGGGAAACCCUGAUCUAGCCAUGCCGCGUGAGCGAUGAAGGCCUUAGGGUUGUAAAGCUCUUUCAGCUGGGAAGAUAAUGACGGUACCAGCAGAAGAAGCCCCGGCUAACUCCGUG